CUACGGGGGGCAGCAGUGGGGAAUAUUGGGCAAUGGACCAAAAGUCUGAUCCAGCAAUUCUGUGUGCACGAUGACGGUCUUCGGAUUGUAAAGUGCUUUCAGUUGGGAAGAAAAAAAUGACGGUACCAACAGAAGAAGCGACGGCUAAAUACGUGCCAGCAGCCGCGGUAAUACGCAUGUCGCAAGCGUUAUCCGGAUUUAUUGGGCGUAAAGCGCGUCUAGGUGGUUUGAUAAGUCUGAUGUGAAAAUGCGGGGCUCAACUCCGUAUUGCGUUGGAAACUGUCAAACUAGAGUAUCGGAGAGGUGGGCGGAACUACAAGUGUAGAGGUGAAAUUCGUAGAUAUUUGUAGGAAUGCCGAUAGAGAAGUCAGCUCACUGGACGAAUACUGACACUGAAGCGCGAAAGCAUGGGGAGCAAACAGGAUUAGAUACCCUCGUAGUC
This 442-nucleotide ribosomal RNA is filed under the name uncultured bacterium. RNAcentral describes it as "partial 16S ribosomal RNA". It matches the Rfam family "Bacterial small subunit ribosomal RNA", at positions 339 to 795 of the family's 1533-position model. The record is from RNAcentral.